Molecule: long non-coding RNA, 3317 nt
Organism: Betta splendens (Siamese fighting fish)
Lineage: Eukaryota; Metazoa; Chordata; Actinopteri; Anabantiformes; Osphronemidae
Exons: 2
Source: RefSeq, a predicted model, not a curated record
AUUAAUGACUAUUAAAGGGAAGACGACUAUUAGAGAGAAGUAAUAAUAAUUACUGUACGUACCAGACUAUUAAAGAAAAACUUAUUUUUUCACUGUCUUAUGCAACAUCUGACAGCGAGACACCUUGAGAUUUAUUGUUGCUUUCAAAUUUAUGCCCAGUUAAUUUUUAGGAAGAGAUCUCAUGUGUAGUUUAGGUAUUUGAUUGAUUUCCACUCCAGACGGAGUGCAGGUUACGUCUACAGACAUUCUAAAUAAUCCCUCUUUUGUUGCUGUUAACUUCAGCUCAGCUGUGCUCUUAUCAUUAGCUGCUGAGAGGGGGCUGUAACUGAGGCCCUCACACAGGCUGCAUCACAGCUUAUGAUUUCACACACACACAAACUGACCUCAACUUCCCUCUUUUGGGAUGAACACAGGUCUGCGCUUGCGAUUUCUUUUACUAACGAACAAAAAAGAUUUUUAUUUUUAUUCUACAGUUCCACACGUCCCUCUGUGAAAACAUGAUGGAGACAGAUGCAGGACGUGGGUCCUUUCGUGAACAGAUGUCAACGGGGUGGAGACUGGUGAACGACUUCUGACCCCAUAGGACGCUCUGACCCAACACUCAGCCUUACAGGAAGCCCUGCUUCCCUGUGACUCACACACAGACAUGAUGUAGGUUUGAUCAGAGGAUGUGAACCAGUGGUCAUCACACCUAAAUCUGACCACAAACCAUGUAAACAACAGCACCCUCUUAAAGGAGCCAUAGAUGGCGUUACUGCAGACACCACUAAGCUACUGAAACAUUGGAUGCUACAGGCCACAAAGAGAGCCUGUCUAAAUUACAGUUAGUUCAGACAAAGGUUAUUUUCUGGGUCAUUGUAAUUACAGCUGAUGGCAAAUCCAUCUCACCCAACUGAGUUAAAGCAAUUUGAAACCUGCCUAAACCGUGCACGUAAAAACAGCUGAUGUCUUUUCUAGGUCUUUGUUCUUAUUGUAGGACUUUCGUUCCUAACUUUACCUUCUCUGAGGCCCCACUCAGGGUUCUGAUGCAGACGUCUUCAUCGUCCACUUCUUGUCUCACGUGGACGUCUGAGGCUGAACAACGUUCACUGACCUCAUGCUUGCUCUUCAGUCGGCUCCUACUUUGGGUCUUCCUGAUCUGACCUUACGCGACCUUUCACUCAAACAGUGGAUGAGAAAUCAGGUUGUACGACUUCUGUUCUUUUGUCCUCAUACUGUGUCCUUGAUUCUUUUGAAAAACAUCACAUCUUUCUACAGCCCGACGGCUUAGAUGCAACACCACUUUGCUCAACAUGCUGAACAUUACUAUCAAGAUGUCGUCUUGUAGUCUGGUGCUUUGCUAAGACACUACUCUGCUCAGGCUGCAGAGUUGAUCGCGUUGACUGAAGCUAGUAAACUAGCAGAAGGAAAGUCUGUUACCAUCUACACAGACUCUACAGAUGCUCUGUGGAAGCAUAGGAAGCUUUUGAAGUCUGAUUGCAAACCUAUCUUACAUCAUGAUAAGGUUCUGCUUUGCUGGAUGCUGUCCUGCUGCCUACAGCUAAUGCUGUUUGUAACUGUACAACAUCAUAGACGACUUUGUUUCUGCCGACAUGCAGCUGCAGACGCUGCUGCGAAGGUCGCUGCCCAACAACCCCUCCAUCUCCUGAUCCUCGUUUCCUCUCCUCAUCCUUGUUUCCUCUCUCCAACUCUCUCUAUCCUUUCCUUCCUCUCUCCCUGUACUUUAAACAUUUUGUACCCCACAGGAACGCAGACUCUGGCUGACGAAUGGUUCCACCUGCAGCCAUGGAGUCUGGUUUGGGCCUGAUGGCAGCCGUGCCGCCCAAACACUUUUUCCGCAAAAUUCAGAUUUCCAACAGGUGAAAACAGGCGACAGGACCAUCACAUCAUUCAACCAGGGGACUGGGCGAUCGUUAAGGAGUUCAGGAGGAAGCACUGGGACUCCAAACGGUGGCGAAGCCCCUUCCAGGUCCUUCUGACGACCCACACGACUGUAAAGAUCGCAGAGGGAGCGACUUGGAUCCACUCCAUCCAGGAAGGUCCCGGAUCCAACAGACGACCAUCCAUCUAUAUCCCACAGAGAAAACCACCACUAAAGAAAAGAAUUGAGAAGGACGACCCUCGCUGUGCUCACACACGCACUGAGGCGAGGCUGCGUUGACCGUUCAGCUAAAGGUGUGAGCCAAGCGCCGCCUGAAGCUGCGCCGGUGAAUCACACUAUCAGACCAUACAUCUACACACACGCUCCUGAGAAAACACACACACGAGCAGCCUUGAGUUGCCGACGCUGGACGACGUGUAGACUCUCCACAUCACGGGAGUGACAGUGACUCAGACGACAUUGGGAGGAAACCUGGCGGUGAUAACGAAUCCCAAGUGUCUCUGUGAUCAGCUGAUCACAACCUGAAGAACCCCAACGAACUGGCAAUACUUCAACACACAGGUUGGAAACAAUCUAACGCUACUGUUCAACAGGAAGAAGCAGAUUGUUACGAGACAUCAAUUGUAAACAUGCUUUGUUAGGCUUCAUUUUAUGUUACUUGGAUUGUUGCCUUUAUCAUAUGAUGUUUCUAUGUAACUUUACACACUACUUUUGAAUGAGAAAAUUUCACAUAAUUCACAACACUGAGUUUAAAUAUCCUGAAGUUGACUUGGUGUUUAAUUUGCUCACAAUGACUUUAUUCACUGCUGCAAAAAUGUUUUAUCCUUCAUCUACAGAUGAAAGACAACACGAGCGGAAAUAUGCAUCAUCAUUCUGGUUAAAUCCCUGAAUCUCGUAUUCAUUCUAGACGCAAAUGUACAAUUAAAGAUUCGAAAGCAUGAAAUCUAUCUUAAGAUUAUAUGAAACAGAACCCCACCGGAAACCUAUGGCUAUCAUACAUUAAUUAUCUUUAUUACAUUACAAUUGAAUGGCCAUAGACACGUUGUUAGCAGAGAAAAGAGGCGUUUGUGUUAUGUUUGGAGACGCAUGUUGUACUUACAUCCUGAAUAACACUGAUUCUAAUGGUAUUGUGGCGAAGGCGCUACACGGCCUUCAGAAUCUCAGCUAACUCUGGUAUAGAUUCUUCCUCUUGGAAUUGGCUAGACGAAAUGUCUGGAAACUGGAAAUCUGUUCUCAUGUCCACAGCUGUUUCCUUUAUAAUUGAGAUGGCUGUGAUUCUCUUGUUUGGUUUUUGCGUUAUCCCACUGGUUAGAGGUCUCAUCAUGCGUGCGACCCUAGCAACACUCUCGUAUCAAAUGACACAAUGCACUAUGCUCAAAAACCCCAACUCUAAUUUACUUAAUGACUUUGACGAUGAUCUUAGGCUAUCGGAUCA